Molecule: ribosomal RNA, 369 nt
Filed under: uncultured bacterium
Lineage: Bacteria
Description: bacterial SSU rRNA
Rfam family: Bacterial small subunit ribosomal RNA
Source: RNAcentral
GACGAACGCUGGCGGCGUGCCUAACACAUGCAAGUCGAACGGGGUGAUUUGCUUCGGUAAAUCACUUAGUGGCGAACGGGUGAGUAACGCGUGAGGAACCUGCCUUUCAGUGGGGAACAACAGUUGGAAACGACUGCUAAUACCGCAUAACGCAGCGAGACCGCAUGGUACAGUGUGAAAAACUCCGGUGGUAUGAGAUGGACCCGCGUCUGAUUAGCUAGUUGGUGGGUAACGGCUCACCAAGGCAACGAUCAGUAGCCGGCCUGAGAGGGUGAACGGCCACAUUGGGACUGAGACAGGCCCAAACUCCUACGGGAGGCAGCAGUGGGGAAUAUUGCACAAUGGGCAAAGCCUGAUGCAGCGACGCCG